GACGAACGCUGGCGGCGUGCUUAACACAUGCAAGUCGAACGGAAAGGCCCUGCUUUUGUGGGGUGCUCGAGUGGCGAACGGGUGAGUAACACGUGAGUAACCUGCCCUUGACUUUGGGACAACUUCAGGAAACUGGGGCUAAUACCGGAUAGGAGCUCCUGCUGCAUGGUGGGGGUUGGAAAGUUUCGGCGGUUGGGGAUGGACUCGCGGCUUAUCAGCUUGUUGGUGGGGUAGUGGCUUACCAAGGCUUUGACGGGUAGCCGGCCUGAGGGGGUGACUGGCCACAUUGGGACUGAGAUACGGCCCAGACUCCUACGGGAGGCAGCAGUGGGGAAUAUUGCACAAUGGGCGGAAGCCUGAUGCAGCAACGCCGCGUGCGGGAUGACGGCCUUCGGGUUGUAAACCGCUUUCGCCUGUGACGAAGCGUGAGUGACGGUAAUGGGUAAAGAAGCACCGGCUAACUACGUGCCAGCAGCCGCGGUGAUACGUAGGGUGCGAGCGUUGUCCGGAUUUAUUGGGCGUAAAGGGCUCGUAGGUGGUUGAUCGCGUCGGAAGUGUAAUCUUGGGGCUUAACCCUGAGCGUGCUUUCGAUACGGGUUGACUUGAGGAAGGUAGGGGAGAAUGGAAUUCCUGGUGGAGCGGUGGAAUGCGCAGAUAUCAGGAGGAACACCAGUGGCGAAGGCGGUUCUCUGGGCCUUUCCUGACGCUGAGGAGCGAAAGCGUGGGGAGCGAACAGGCUUAGAUACCCUGGUAGUCCACGCUGUAAACGGUGGGUACUAGGUGUGGGGUCCAUUCCACGGGUUCCGUGCCGUAGCUAACGCUUUAAGUACCCCGCCUGGGGAGUACGGCCGCAAGGCUAAAACUCAAAGGAAUUGACGGGGCCCCGCACAAGCGGCGGAGCAUGCGGAUUAAUUCGAUGCAACGCGUAGAACCUUACCUGGGUUUGACAUGGAUCGGGAGCGCUCAGAGAUGGGUGUGCCUCUUUUGGGGUCGGUUCACAGGUGGUGCAUGGCUGUCGUCAGCUCGUGUCGUGAGAUGUUGGGUUAAGUCCCGCAACGAGCGCAACCCUUGUUCACUGUUGCCAGCACGUUAUGGUGGGGACUCAGUGGAGACCGCCGGGGUCAACUCGGAGGAAGGUGGGGAUGACGUCAAGUCAUCAUGCCCCUUAUGUCCAGGGCUUCACGCAUGCUACAAUGGCUGGUACAGAGAGUGGCGAGCCUGUGAGGGUGAGCGAAUCUCGGAAAGCCGGUCUCAGUUCGGAUUGGGGUCUGCAACUCGACCUCAUGAAGUCGGAGUCGCUAGUAAUCGCAGAUCAGCAACGCUGCGGUGAAUACGUUCCCGGG
This 1343-nucleotide ribosomal RNA is filed under the name uncultured bacterium. RNAcentral's name for it is "16S ribosomal RNA". It matches the Rfam family "Bacterial small subunit ribosomal RNA", at positions 28 to 1378 of the family's 1533-position model. The record is from RNAcentral.